AGUGAACGCUGGCGGUAGGCCUAACACAUGCAAGUCGAACGGCAGCACAGUAAGAGCUUGCUCUUACGGGUGGCGAGUGGCGGACGGGUGAGGAAUACAUCGGAAUCUACUUUUUCGUGGGGGCUAACGUAGGGAAACUUACGCUAAUACCGCAUACGACCUACGGGUGAAAGCAGGGGAUCUUCGGACCUUGCGCGAUUGAAUGAGCCGAUGUCGGAUUAGCUAGUUGGCGGGGUAAAGGCCCACCAAGGCGACGAUCCGUAGCUGGUCUGAGAGGAUGAUCAGCCACACUGGAACUGAGACACGGUCCAGACUCCUACGGGAGGCAGCAGUGGGGAAUAUUGGACAAUGGGCGCAAGCCUGAUCCAGCCAUACCGCGUGGGUGAAGAAGGCCUUCGGGUUGUAAAGCCCUUUUGCUGGGAAAGAAAAGCAGCAGGUUAAUACCCCGCUGUUCUGACGGUACCCAAAGAAUAAGCACCGGCUAACUUCGUG
RNAcentral lists this ribosomal RNA (492 nucleotides) under uncultured bacterium. RNAcentral describes it as "partial 16S ribosomal RNA". It matches the Rfam family "Bacterial small subunit ribosomal RNA", at positions 29 to 507 of the family's 1533-position model. The record is from RNAcentral.